RNAcentral lists this ribosomal RNA (364 nucleotides) under uncultured organism. RNAcentral describes it as "bacterial SSU rRNA". It matches the Rfam family "Bacterial small subunit ribosomal RNA", at positions 526 to 896 of the family's 1533-position model. The record is from RNAcentral.
CGGAGGGUCCAAGCGUUAUCCGGAAUCAUUGGGUUUAAAGGGUCCGUAGGCGGUUUAAUAAGUCAGUGGUGAAAGCCCAUCGCUCAACGAUGGAACGGCCAUUGAUACUGUUAAACUUGAAUUAUUAGGAAGUAACUAGAAUAUGUAGUGUAGCGGUGAAAUGCUUAGAGAUUACAUGGAAUACCAAUUGCGAAGGCAGGUUACUACUAAUAUAUUGACGCUGAUGGACGAAAGCGUGGGGAGCGAACAGGAUUAGAUACCCUGGUAGUCCACGCCGUAAACGAUGGAUACUAGCUGUUCGGAGCAAUCUGAGUGGCUAAGCGAAAGUGAUAAGUAUCCCACUGGGGAUACGUUCGCAAGAAUG